This 3296-nucleotide long non-coding RNA is filed under the name Bos indicus x Bos taurus (hybrid cattle). RNAcentral's name for it is "lncRNA (ENSBIXG00000008959.1)". Lineage: Eukaryota; Metazoa; Chordata; Mammalia; Artiodactyla; Bovidae. The record is from RNAcentral.
ACACAGGAAGUGAGAUGGUGCUGCACGAUGGGCCAUCUCUGUCUUCUCAAUUCAGAACCCAGCAGGAAGUGAUUCUUACCAGCAACUGCCAUGGGCUGUCAGGGGCUGAGAAGUCACAGCCACGAUGGGGAGAACACCCACUGGGGAGAAGACACAGAGCCGCAGUAUCCUAACCCAGCCCCAGCCUGCCCCACCCUACUCGGGGCUGACACUUCGCAGAGAUCACUGGAAGGACAUUCACACUGGAAGAGAGCUUCUCUGUGCAAGGCCGUCCUUCCAAAUCCUUCGUUCAUCCACCUGAUGAGAAAACUGAAGUUGAGAGCAGCCGAAGCCUGUGCUUGGGGAACACAGCCAUUGAGAAGCAGCCCUGGCUCUCUGGAACCCAUGCCCUCUUUACAGGCAGCGUGCAUGCCCAGUCUCUUCAGUCAUGUCUGACUCUUUGUGACUCUAUAGACUGUAACUCGCCAGCUCCUCUGUCCAUGGAAUUUUCCUGGCAAGAAUACUGGAGCGGGUUGCCAUGCCUUCCUGCAGAGGAUCUUUCCGACCCAUGGAUUGAACUCACGUCUCCUGCAUCUCCUGCUCUGCAGGCAGAUUCUUUACUACUGAGCCACCAGGGAAGCCCUUACAGGCAAGGUUCAAGGAUAACUUAUAUCUGCAUUCAGACCACCCUUGAAGAGGGUGGAUCCCUUAUAAACAGUGCAUGCUUUUGUGCUCAGCUGUGUCAGAUUCUGUGACCCCAUGGACUGUAGCCCACCAGGCUCCUCUGUUCACGGAAUUUUCCAAGCAAGAAUACUGGAGUGGGUUGCCAUUUCCUUCUCCAGGGGAUCUUCCCGACCCAGGGAUCAAACCCAGGUCUCCUGGAAGUCUCCUGCAUUGACAAGAGGAUUCUUUACCACUAAGUCACCUGGAAAGCCGCCUGUAAACAGUAGGUGCUCAGUAAAUGCCACUUCCUCUCUCCGAUCCUUAGGUGAGUUUAAAUUUGUUGCUGUUCAGUCACUCAGUCGUGCCCGACUCUUUCUGACCCCAUGGAUUGCAGCUCGCCAGGCUUCCCUGUCCUUCACCGUCUCCCCGAGCUUGCUCAAACUCAGGUCCAUUGAGUCGGUGAUGCCAUCCAAGCAUCUUCUCUAGUUCUAGCACUAUAAAACUGUGAAUAUUUGGGUGCUGCUAUACAAAAGGUGACCAGCAGAUGGCAGAAUUGAGCUUUCCCGGCUCCUAACGUCCCUAUCGCAAGGAUAAGGGGAGAAAAGUUGGUUGUCCUUUUGCCAUCUCCGAACUCCGGAAUGCCUCCGAAAUGCCCAUUGCUCCCGUUUGAAGCACCGUCCUCCUACUCCUUUGGUGAAAAGAUGUAGUGAGCAUCUGCAGAAGCUGCAGUUUGGGACACGCUGGUGGAAGAGCACAGGGAAAUCCAACAAGGACUUUAACCUUUUACUCUCUGCGUGUGCUCGGUCUUGCCCAACUGUUCGCGACCUGAUGGGCUGCAGCCCGCCAGGCUCCUCUGUCCAUGGGAUUCUCCAGGCAAGGAUACUGGAGUGCGUUGCCAUUUCCUUCUUCAGGGGAUCUUCCUGACUCUGGGAUCGGAACCCUCCUUGGAGGCUUAAAAUGCUGGUGUAAAACAGUUGCAGGGAAAGUGACUGACUUAAGGUUCCAGUUUUCGCUUGGGGAAACUGAGGCUCAGAGAGCCAAGGUGAUGUGCUCCGGAACACACAGCUAGGUCAGAUUUUCUGGCUCCUCAUUCAAGGGACCAGGUUAGUUUCUCAAAGGCAAAAUCUACUCUGAAGGCACUUUCAGUUCACAUACGCAGACAGGAAAUCUGCAAGUUAAAAAAUAAUUCAGAAUGCCCCACCUCCCCGCAAAAGUUCAGUGCUUUGUGGAGGUUUUCCUGUAGUUGCCUUGGAUCCAUAGAGGAGCCUACAUUUGGAUAACUUCCCCUCCAAGUGCUCUUCACCUGAGGUCUGUGAACACCCUAGGAGUAGUAUCCCCUCCCAACCCCAACAAGCAAAGGAAAUUAUCUAUAUAUGAGCACAUGCAUGAGCAUAUGGAUCCACACUAAUUAUGUUCCCAGCUUUCUUCAAAUGCCCCAAGGUGUCUGUGCUAGUUAUUCAUGUAUUAUUCCUCAACUCCAAGUUCACUCACCAAUACCUACUCUGUGAUAAUGGGCAGAAUUCCCACAGGUGACUCUCCUCUACAGUGAGCAUAAAUGCUAUAACGUAAGCUUUCUUAGGAGAGGGUGCUGGGAGAACACCACAGGAGGAAGGGGCAGUUCUUGCUGGUUUGGGCAGGCGUAGGCAUCUGUGGUGCUCUGCCCCAGCCAUGUGCCCAGAAGGGCCUCCAGUGACUUUUGCAGUCCUGCCUGGCCUGGUGAUCACUUUCCCAUGACCCUCCCAAUACAGACACUGUAUGUUCUGUGCCACCUGCCUACACCGCCACUCAACUCCCUCUAUCUGUCCACAUACCCACCUACCAGGUUGCUUUCUGCUUGUCCAGCAGAUGCCAAUUAGCUUUGGCCCAGGCACCAGCUAAUCUCUCUGCCUCCAGUGGGGCCAUGACACCUCCUCCAGCAAGGUUUGAUCCCCAGCCUGGGGAGGGACCUCCUUCAUGGGCCCUCUUUCUCAGCUGAAGGAAGAGUAGCCCUACAGGGGUCCACUUACGUUUUAGAUAUUUAUGAUGUGUCCUUAGUAUUGUCUCUUUGUGACCCAGGGACUGUAGCCCACUAGGCUCCUCUGUCCAUGGGAUUUUCCAGCAGGAAUACUGGAGUGGGUUGCCAUUUCCUCCUCCAGGGGAUCUUCCCAACCCAGGGAUUGAACCCUGCAUCGGCAGGUGGAUUCUUUACCGCUAGCUCCACCAGGAAGACUUUACAUCCUAUAGUUACUCUUUGAUCAUAGUGUAUGUAAUACUCUUCAUAUCAAACUUCCAUUUCUUAAACCCUAUGUGGUUUCUGCCUCCUGAUUGGACCCGGAGUGAUACUUGUGUACUUGUGGCCCUUAAAAUAUUAAGAUCCAUCUGAUCUAGCCCCAGAUAUAACAAAAAUAUAAAACUCACAGCUCCCUGCUGAGCACACAGAGAACAAUGUGUUACUACCAUAUGUUGGGGAUGGAGGUCAGUUUCCCUGUUGCCACAGAAGGUUGGCAGCUCUGGACAAUCUCCCUUACAUGGUCUCUCUGGCCUGCUUAGCUUAGCUGCAUGCUCUCUGGUGGAGCAGUAAAAUAACGAGCAAUUAAGAGCAUCAUUUACAGAGCACACAUUUCAAAUGGCAUGCAAGGGUUUUAUGUGUACUAUUAGCUCCAUUUUACAGAUGG